AACGAACGCUUGCGGCGCGCCUAAUACAUGCAAGUCGAACGAACCAGCAAUGGUGAGUGGCGCACGGGUGAGUAACGCGUGGGUAAUCUGCCUAUCAGUGGGGAAUAACUAACCGAAAGGUUAGCUAAUACCGCAUGAGGCCACAGUAUCUGCGGAUACAGGGGUUAAAGAUUUAUCGCUGAUAGAUGAGCCUGCGUGGGAUUAGCUAGUUGGUGAGGUAACGGCUCACCAAGGCAACGAUCUCUAACUGGUCUGAGAGGAUGACCAGUCACACUGGAACUGAGACACGGUCUAGACUCCUACGGGAGGCAGCAGUAGGGGAUAUUGCGCAAUGGGGGAAACCCUGACGCAGCGACGCCGCGUGAGUGAUGAAGGCCUUAGGGUCGUAAAGCUCUGUUGUACGGGAAGAAAAAAAUGACGGUACCGUAUAAGAAAGGAUCGGCUAACUUCGUGCCAGCCGCCGCGGUAA
RNAcentral lists this ribosomal RNA (469 nucleotides) under uncultured bacterium. RNAcentral describes it as "partial 16S ribosomal RNA". It matches the Rfam family "Bacterial small subunit ribosomal RNA", at positions 29 to 523 of the family's 1533-position model. The record is from RNAcentral.